Molecule: long non-coding RNA, 4266 nt
Organism: Mugil cephalus (flathead mullet)
Lineage: Eukaryota; Metazoa; Chordata; Actinopteri; Mugiliformes; Mugilidae
Exons: 5
Source: RefSeq, a predicted model, not a curated record
CGCCGCUCCACAAAGACCCGGGGAAACAAUGCGGCUUUCUUUGCAAGUUUCGAAGAAGCGAAUUCCACGCACCGUGUAACACGUAACCUCGGUGUCCGCGCAUCUGCCCGAGCCCCAGAGAUGCACAUAACGCCGCGCGCGGCGGCGAUGCGGGCCCCGGCAGGCUUUAAAUAGGAUGUCGCACGCUGUAGGUAAUAUUUGCAUCCCCCGUCGAGCAGAAGUGAUGCAAGAAAGUGUUCGCCUCAUUAGUUUGGUUCUCAUUUUGAGGGACGUGCCCAUCGGUUUUGGAUUAAAUGUUACAUCACCGAAGUCCAGAUUAUCUAAAAAAAAUGCACGUGGGGUCGGGGAAGCAUGUGAUAUUUUUGUCCGUGAAAAUACUGAAAAUGUUCAUCGUUUUACUCUUCGCUUUUCAGGCCGUUGUGUUUUAAAGCGUUUUUUCUUUCUUUCUUUCUUUCUUUCUUUUUUUUUGUAAUUUUCCUGUUAAGUGGUGCUUGCCCCUCGGAGCUGAGUGGACUUUGGUCCGGCUGAAGCGUUCCUGAUCCCUGCUGAACGGAGAGAGCUAUAGGGAGGGAGGGAGGGAGGGAGAGAACGAGCUGCGAGGGAGGAGGGGGAAGGCAAGAACAAGAGAGGAAGUGAGUGUUCAUUACAAAGUGCGCUUCUCGUUGUGGGCAUGCCCAGUAGAGUUCGCCUUGCAGCCCGAAAUCCAGCCUCUAAAUUUGAACAGGAGGGAUACGAGGUGACUGAGCAGACUUUUGUUGCUGCUCUCUUUCUCUUUUCUCUCCCUCUUUUCUCCCCCCUCUCUCCUCGCUCUCCCCCGUAAUGUUAUUUUUUCCCCUCCUCACCCAGUAGUAAGAGCGUGGAGAGAGAUUUUUUUUCUUUCUUUUUUUUUUCUCUUUUUUUGCCAUGGAAGAGCAAGAGGAGGUGCAGAAUUUCAGCUGGUGCAAAAGACAACAAGGGGGAAGUAAAGAAAAAUAAGAAGAGGAGGAGGAGGAGGAGGAGGAGGAGGAAAAAGGCAAGAGAGAGAAAGACUUCAACCCCCCCCACACACACACCCCCCCCCCUCCAUCUUCCUCUUCCUCACUCCCUCCUCCGCCAACGACUUUUACCUCAGAAAGAGCGGAGGGACCAACUUCAAAAGGCAGUCAGGAGGGAGCUGGAGUGUGAAACGUGAGGAGAGAAGCAAGAUGAGAGGCUGACCGGCUCUGCUGUGUUUGCUCUGCUGUCCAGGGAUUGGGAAGCAGACUGGGAAUUACAGGCAACACCUGGCAGCAAUCUCAGCAAGGAUGGCACAGCACGCUCUUGAAGGCUGAGGUGCAAAAAAAGGCAAGUGAGCAGGAAGAACAGCGUUGCGAUGGGGGCAUCCUGGAUCCUGAAAGGGAGGAAGCCCAAGUGUUGAUGACUGGAGGCCGAGGCAGAGCCCGUCUCAGUGUCGCCCUGCUGCAGGUCACGUUGGAUUUAAAGACAGGCUGGAAAUCCCCUGAUGAGUCAACAUUUAACACUUUGCUGCCAUGUCAACCAAAUAAGCUGCAAACACUUUUUUUUUUCUUUUCCCCUUUUCCUUUUUUUUUUGAAGGAAAAAGAGUUUAAAGCCUACGUUGGCUGCAGUUAACAUUUUGGAUAAUUUCUGCCUCGACAGCCUUGAUAUCAGGAAGCUGUGCAGAUGUGCGUCUGCCCAGAGCGAUUAGAUUGCGGGCUUUUCAAGUCAGUUUCUUUUCUUUUUUGUUUUCCAACCGAGCUGGCACGAUUUUGAAGGACAAUAUCAGUAAUCUUUUUGAUGAUGGUGACGAUGACGGGAGUCACGCAGCAGCUGGAUCAGAACGAGAUACGGAAAAGCAGCCUCACAGCACAUAUUGAAGUCUGACUCUAUCUGAAAUCCCCACAAAGAUGUUACACACCAGCUCUUUCUGUUUUUUUUGUUCCCGUUACAGCACGAGACAAUAUGGAAAUUCUAUUUUUAUUACUGUAAAAUCUAUUUUUGAUUAUUUCCACUUGAAUCUUUGUUGUUAAGCUGCAUUCCAUUGGAUUUCACCAUAUUUUUUUAUUUUUUUUUUUUUGCUCAAAGCUUCCAAGCAUAUGUAUCUCCUUGGAUUGUUGGUCCCAGAAAAAUAUUUUAUUGCCAAAUCGAUCCAUUGAUCACUUUUAGUCAGAUUCUUGGGGUUCGACAGUGGACAGAUGCGGAUGCACAGUAGAGAGAUAUCAUUAAUUCAGAGACGCUCUGUUGGUUCGUCUGCUACAUUGAUUGAUGGGAAAUAAAUGGCUACUGUUUGACGGCCAAUUUAUAGUUUUCAGUCUUUUUUUUUUUUUUUUCCCAGAUAAAAAUAUCUGAUGGUGGCAAGAUAGUAAAUCAAAUAUAUGCUGAUGAUGUUUGAACUUAAAAAACGUGAUGCUCAGAGUUUAGAUUAAAUUACAGCAGGUAUUUAUGAAAUAAUCUGCAAAGGAUGCGUUUCAAAUCUGAUCAUAUUAUGUUAAUAGGACAAAUAGUCUGUUAUUUAAAGCGUAGCAGCAGAUAAAGCUAAGUACAUGUGCAUAGUAGCUACAAUACAAUAUUAUGUGCGUCUGUAACCUAAUGUGUGCUGUGUGGUACUGCUAACUGAGACACAAUAAACUGUACUUUGCAACAUAUUCUUGUUUUCAUUUUUUAUAGUCUGAAUACGUUCAGCUCCAUGUUUGUGUUAGCCUGCUGUCUUUGUUGUGUCUUUGUGUGUACCUACCUUUGCAUUUGCACAUACUCCAAGAACUACUGAGAUGGCUUUGAUCGUGCUUUAUUCCAUUUUUACAGUGUGCUACAUCUUUCAAGGGUCACCAGAGUUUCCUUUUGUCAGGUCAUGCAAAGUGCUUUGUGAUUUAUUUAUUUUUUUUAUUUUUUUAUCAUAGUAGUUGUAUCGACAUCUAAAUACUACAGCUCCUGGAGCAUCACUCAAUUUACAAAGUCACUGUGACGUGAUGGUCAGACUGUGACAUACGUGGCGUGGGCCAAGCUUCAGGGCUGAUUUCCUGCUUCUUCUUUUUUUUUUUUUUUUUACUGUGACAUUAGACCACACGUGGCCUGUUGCGACCUGCCCAACAAACUCAUCACCAGCUCUCGGCUCACGUCUCAGAUCACACUUUCCCACCAGCUAAUGUGUCUCGUUAAUACAUGUGAAUAUGCUCAGAUUGUGUAUUGUCAUCCAGUUGCUAGUCUGAUAUUUACGGGAAUGAUGUAACACAUUUUGCGUGUUGUCACUAGCAGGGCUGGAGUGUCUUGUCCACAUCGAUGAAUCUGCAUUAAAGUGUGCACAUCUUCAACUGUAUUCUUUUCUCCUCCCGAAUAAAUACACAAUUGAUGUCGGAGCACUGCGAUGUGCUCUUCAGACGCCUGUUAUUGAGAUAUAGUGGCGUUAGGGUCGUGUCUAAAUAAAGCCAUACUGCUUUCACUUCACAUGAUUGUCAGUUCCUUUAACCCAAACAGACAUUAAUAGAAGCUCUGAAUGAGUUGUAGCUUUUUUUUUCCCCCUCCAGCUGACAUGUUUUAUAUUUUGUCUUCGGAGGUAUAUUUAUACUUUUUUUUUUUUUUUUUUAAAGCCAGAAUUUGUUUCAAGAUUCAUUUUUUGGCAUGGCUUUUGUUUCUGUGAAGCUGCCAAGAUGUGUAACGGCAUCUUUAAUGCUGGCCGCGAAGAAACGAGCAAUAAAUUGACCUAAAUAAAGAUAAUAAUAAUAAUAAUAAUAGUAAUAAUAAUAAUAAUAAAGACAGGCAAGAUGCUCUUGCGCUUGCACUAAUUGAUCCUAAUUGUUUCAAACUGGAGGUUUGUGUUUGUGUAUGCGAGAUUUGUGUGUUUGUGAAAUUGGUUUUAAUGUGACACCAAUUCAUUAUUAACGAUAAUUGGAUUUACUUUAUUAUGGUAAAUAUUUCAGUAGUGGUGCAAAAUGAAAUGCGCAGGCGUCCAUAAACGUCGUCAAGUCCUGCAAGUUUUUCCUCUCGCUGUCGUGUGGACGAACAGACGAGGCUUCGAUAGCUUCGCCGUGCAGCUGCGCUAAUGCUCUGCACGACACUGCAUGUGAUGUUCAUUCUGAAAUGGAUCCUGAAGUUCUUUGUCUUUCUCUGUCUUGCAGACUAUCAUACCAGGUCAGGACAUGUUGGGAACAUGUCCGUGAACAUGGGCUGGAUGUGAAGUGUCAGCAGCCCAAACCCACUUUUUUCAUUUUCAUUUAGCCGAAGCACACAAACAACUGAAACGUUUCUGUAAAUAGAAAAUAUCUUGUGCUAAUAAAGUGUUUAAAUCUCCUCUC